This 270-nucleotide ribosomal RNA is filed under the name uncultured archaeon. RNAcentral describes it as "partial 16S ribosomal RNA". It matches the Rfam family "Archaeal small subunit ribosomal RNA", at positions 477 to 747 of the family's 1478-position model. The record is from RNAcentral.
CAGCACCCCGAGUGGUCGGGACGAGUAUUGGGCCUAAAGCAUCCGUAGCCGGUUCUGCAAGUCUCCCGUUAAAUCCAACUGCUCAACAGGUGGGCUGCGGAGGAUACUACAGAGCUAGGAGGCAGGAGAGGCAAGCGGUACUCAGUGGGUAGGGGUAAAAUCCGUUGAUCCAUUGGAGACCACCAGUGGCAAAGGCGGCUUGCCAGAAUGCGCUCGACGGUGAGGGAUGAAAGCUGGGGGAGCAAACCGGAUUAGAGACCCGAGUAGUCC